UAUAAUUUAGUAUAGGAUGUACUUAGGUUUUUGAUUCCUAAAGCAAUAGGCUGAACUAUUAGUUAUAA
RNAcentral lists this transfer RNA (68 nucleotides) under Dicronocephalus adamsi. Its description in RNAcentral is "tRNA-Gln". The record is from RNAcentral. Lineage: Eukaryota; Metazoa; Arthropoda; Insecta; Coleoptera; Scarabaeidae.